RNAcentral lists this ribosomal RNA (809 nucleotides) under uncultured bacterium. Its description in RNAcentral is "bacterial SSU rRNA". It matches the Rfam family "Bacterial small subunit ribosomal RNA", at positions 1 to 809 of the family's 1533-position model. The record is from RNAcentral.
GCCCUUAGAGUUUGAUCCUGGCUCAAGGGGACCGCUGGCGGCGUGCUUAACACAUGCAAGUCGAACGAAGCACUAUUAUUUGAUUUCUUCGGAAUGAAGAUUUUAGUGACUGAGUGGCGGACGGGUGAGUAACGCGUGGGUAACCUGCCUCAUACGGGGGGAUAACAGUUAGAAAUGACUGCUAAUACCGCAUAAGACCACAGUACCGCAUGGUACAGGGGUAAAAACUCCGGUGGUAUGAGAUGGACCCGCGUCUGAUUAGGUAGUUGGUGGGGUAACGGCCUACCAAGCCGACGAUCAGUAGCCGACCUGAGAGGGUGACUGGCCACAUUGGGACUGAGACACGGCCCAAACUCCUACGGGAGGCAGCAGUGGGGAAUAUUGCACAAUGGGGGAAACCCUGAUGCAGCGACGCCGCGUGAGCGAUGAAGUAUUUCGGUAUGUAAAGCUCUAUCAGCAGGGAAGAAAAUGACGGUACCUGACUAAGAAGCACCGGCUAAAUACGUGCCAGCAGCCGCGGUAAUACGUAUGGUGCAAGCGUUAUCCGGAUUUACUGGGUGUAAAGGGAGCGUAGACGGAGUGGCAAGUCUGAUGUGAAAACCCGGGGCUCAACCCCGGGACUGCAUUGGAAACUGUCAAUCUGGAGUACCGGAGAGGUAAGCGGAAUUCCUAGUGUAGCGGUGAAAUGCGUAGAUAUUAGGAGGAACACCAGUGGCGAAGGCGGCUUACUGGACGGUAACUGACGUUGAGGCUCGAAAGCGUGGGGAGCAAACAGGAUUAGAUACCCUGGUAGUCCACGCCGUAAACGA